RNAcentral lists this transfer RNA (60 nucleotides) under Aquiloeurycea cephalica (chunky false brook salamander). Its description in RNAcentral is "tRNA-Asp". Lineage: Eukaryota; Metazoa; Chordata; Amphibia; Caudata; Plethodontidae. The record is from RNAcentral.
AAGAUGUUAGUAAAAAUUACAAAACCUUGUCAUGGCUUAAUUGCUAGCUAACACAUCUUA